GAUGAACGCUGGCGGCGUGCUUAACACAUGCAAGUCGAACGAAGCACUUUUACAGAUUUCUUCGGAAUGAAGUUUUAGUGACUGAGUGGCGGACGGGUGAGUAACGCGUGGGUAACCUGCCUCACACAGGGGGAUAACAGUUGGAAACGGCUGCUAAUACCGCAUAAGCGCACAGUACCGCAUGGUACAGUGUGAAAAACUCCGGUGGUGUGAGAUGGACCCGCGUCUGAUUAGCUAGUUGGCAGGGCAACGGCCUACCAAGGCGACGAUCAGUAGCCGACCUGAGAGGGUGACCGGCCACAUUGGGACUGAGACACGGCCCAAACUCCUACGGGAGGCAGCAGUGGGGAAUAUUGCACAAUGGGGGAAACCCUGAUGCAGCGACGCCGCGUGAGCGAAGAAGUAUUUCGGUAUGUAAAGCUCUAUCAGCAGGGAAGAAGAAAUGACGGUACCUGACUAAGAAGCAC
This 467-nucleotide ribosomal RNA is filed under the name uncultured bacterium. RNAcentral's name for it is "bacterial SSU rRNA". It matches the Rfam family "Bacterial small subunit ribosomal RNA", at positions 28 to 493 of the family's 1533-position model. The record is from RNAcentral.